RNAcentral lists this ribosomal RNA (112 nucleotides) under Chelonoidis abingdonii (Abingdon island giant tortoise). Lineage: Eukaryota; Metazoa; Chordata; Testudines; Testudinidae. The record is from RNAcentral.
UUUAGCGACAUCGCCAUGGGCAGUGAUCUUGCCAAAUUUCACUUGUUAAGCAGGACGAACCCUGAUCAAUACUUGGAUGGGAGACCCCCAGUGAGCCCCCAGCCUGCUAAAG